This 540-nucleotide unclassified non-coding RNA is filed under the name Hevea brasiliensis (rubber tree). The record is from RNAcentral. Lineage: Eukaryota; Viridiplantae; Streptophyta; Magnoliopsida; Malpighiales; Euphorbiaceae.
UUUUUUUGCAAGAGAAGAACGCUUCCUGCACGUUUUAGUAGUCUUACAACAACAUACAAACUGUUAUUUUAUUGGGAAUAAUAAUAAUAAUAUCUGAAGAAAAAAAAGUUGCAUCAACGGAAAUUUGCUAAAACAAUACUUCUGUUUGUUAACAAUGAAAUGGCCUCCAUUUCUGGAACCGUACCAAGUUACAAGAAUCCAAAUUUGGUUUAUAGACUCUAACUAGACUUUUUCCAGGGAUUCCCCCCAUAGUAGUAAGCAGUGCCAACCAUAAGAGCUACCGUAGCACCCUGGACCACCACCCUAGCUCUCAUUAAAAGCUGACCCAAUUGAGAAUUGCCUUGCCUGAAACUGAUUAAGCCAGCUGUAAGCACUCCAGCUGUCAUAAGCGCACCAACGGGUACCAGAGGGUUCCUGACCCGUUUCUUCUCCUUCUCCUCAAAAAAUUGUUCCAAGCUCGGUUCAGUCGUGCCCAUCUUCUACUUCAAAAGUUUUUAUUUCUUGAGAAAAAUGAAAAAUGGUAAGAGAGAAACAGAGACG